Molecule: long non-coding RNA, 271 nt
Filed under: Gossypium raimondii (Peruvian cotton)
Lineage: Eukaryota; Viridiplantae; Streptophyta; Magnoliopsida; Malvales; Malvaceae
Description: long non-coding RNA (GRAI_LNC002162)
Source: RNAcentral
UUAAAACGAGAAGUACGGAUUUACGAAGACAAGCCAAAAUAGGUUGGUGAAGUGCAAAAAAAAUCAAAAAAAAAUUCGAAAAAAAAUUCAAGUUGUAUUGCAAGUUUCCCAUUGUUUCUGAAGUAUUGAAAAAAAAACCAAAAUUAAAAAAAAAAAAGGAGUGUUGGAAAUUUCCCGAUUCACAAAGAAUAGAUUUUCUGCCCCCAUCUCUUCUACCUCAACGCCACACUCAACCUACCCUAUUCAUAUUCAUUUUUUCCCUUUGUUUCCC